GAUGGCGGCGUGCUAUACAUGCAAGUCGAGCGAACAGACGAGGAGCUUGCUCCUCUGACGUUAGCGGCGGACGGGUGAGUAACACGUGGAUAACCUACCUAUAAGACUGGGAUAACUUCGGGAAACCGGAGCUAAUACCGGAUAAUAUAUUGAACCGCAUGGUUCAAUAGUGAAAGACGGUUUUGCUGUCACUUAUAGAUGGAUCCGCGCCGCAUUAGCUAGUUGGUAAGGUAACGGCUUACCAAGGCAACGAUGCGUAGCCGACCUGAGAGGGUGAUCGGCCACACUGGAACUGAGACACGGUCCAGACUCCUACGGGAGGCAGCAGUAGGGAAUCUUCCGCAAUGGGCGAAAGCCUGACGGAGCAACGCCGCGUGAGUGAUGAAGGUCUUCGGAUCGUAAAACUCUGUUAUUAGGGAAGAACAAAUGUGUAAGUAACUAUGCACGUCUUGACGGUACCUAAUCAGAAAGCCACGGCUAACUACGUGCCAGCAGCCGCGGUAAUACGUAGGUGGCAAGCGUUAUCCGGAAUUAUUGGGCGUAAAGCGCGCGUAGGCGGUUUUUUAAGUCUGAUGUGAAAGCCCACGGCUCAACCGUGGAGGGUCAUUGGAAACUGGAAAACUUGAGUGCAGAAGAGGAAAGUGGAAUUCCAUGUGUAGCGGUGAAAUGCGCAGAGAUAUGGAGGAACACCAGUGGCGAAGGCGACUUUCUGGUCUGUAACUGACGCUGAUGUGCGAAAGCGUGGGGAUCAAACAGGAUUAGAUACCCUGGUAGUCCACGCCGUAAACGAUGAGUGCUAAGUGUUAGGGGGUUUCCGCCCCUUAGUGCUGCAGCUAACGCAUUAAGCACUCCGCCUGGGGAGUACGACCGCAAGGUUGAAACUCAAAGGAAUUGACGGGGACCCGCACAAGCGGUGGAGCAUGUGGUUUAAUUCGAAGCAACGCGAAGAACCUUACCAAAUCUUGACAUCCUCUGACCCCUCUAGAGAUAGAGUUUUCCCCUUCGGGGGACAGAGUGACAGGUGGUGCAUGGUUGUCGUCAGCUCGUGUCGUGAGAUGUUGGGUUAAGUCCCGCAACGAGCGCAACCCUUAAGCUUAGUUGCCAUCAUUAAGUUGGGCACUCUAAGUUGACUGCCGGUGACAAACCGGAGGAAGGUGGGGAUGACGUCAAAUCAUCAUGCCCCUUAUGAU
RNAcentral lists this ribosomal RNA (1190 nucleotides) under Staphylococcus epidermidis. RNAcentral's name for it is "bacterial SSU rRNA". It matches the Rfam family "Bacterial small subunit ribosomal RNA", at positions 35 to 1208 of the family's 1533-position model. Lineage: Bacteria; Bacillati; Bacillota; Bacilli; Caryophanales; Staphylococcaceae. The record is from RNAcentral.